Molecule: ribosomal RNA, 445 nt
Filed under: uncultured bacterium
Lineage: Bacteria
Description: bacterial SSU rRNA
Rfam family: Bacterial small subunit ribosomal RNA
Source: RNAcentral
UCCAGACUCACGGGAGGCAGCAGUGGGGAAUAUUGCACAAUGGGGGGAACCCUGAUGCAGCGACGCCGCGUGAGUGGAGAAGUAUCUCGGUACGUAAAGCUCUAUCAGCAGGGAAGAAAAUGACGGUACCUGACUAAGAAGCCCCGGCUAACUACGUGCCAGCAGCCGCGGUAAUACGUAGGUGGCAAGCGUUGUCCGGAUUUACUGGGUGUAAAGGGCGUGUAGCCGGGCUGACAAGUCAGAUGUGAAAUCCGGGGGCUCAACCCCCGAACUGCAUUUGAAACUGUUGGUCUUGAGUAUCGGAGAGGCAGGCGGAAUUCCUAGUGUAGCGGUGAAAUGCGUAGAUAUUAGGAGGAACACCAGUGGCGAAGGCGGAUUGCUGGACAGUAACUGACGCUGAGGCGCGAAAGCGUGGGGAGCAAACAGGAUUAGAUACCCCAGUAAA